GUAGUCUCGCACAGAUGCAUAUCAAUAAGCGGAGGAAAAGAAACUAACAAGGAUUCCCUCAGUAACGGCGAGUGAAGCGGGAAGAGCUCAAAUUUGAAAUCUUGAAAAGUCACCUUUCACGAAUUGUAGUUUAAAGAAGUGUCUUCUGUUACGAUCGUAAUAUAAGUUCUUUGGAAUAGGACAUCACAGAGGGUGAGAAUCCCGUCUAUGAUUGCGAUUUGUAGCUUUGUGAUACACUUUCAAAGAGUCGGGUUGUUUGGGAAUGCAGCCCAAAACGGGAGGUAAAUUUCUUCUAAGGCUAAAUAUUGGCGAGAGACCGAUAGCGAACAAGUACCGUGAGGGAAAGAUGAAAAGAACUUUGAAAAGAGAGUUAAACAGUACGUGAAAUUGUCAAAAGGGAAGCGUUUGACACCAGUGUUGUUUUCUCGAAAAUCAAUUAAAAAGAGUUAGAUUUUGUUGUGUAUUGACCUUAACAGCUUGCAUUUCAAUUUUCUUGCUUUUUUUAAUGCACUUUUCGUUUAACAAGUCAACAUCAGUUUCUUUUGUUGUAAAAAGGUCAUUGGAAGGUGGCUUUCUUUUCGGAGAAAGUGUUUAUAGCCUUUGACUCCUGCAAUCGGAGAGACUGAGGUCUGCAGCGUAGAUCCUUCGGGGUUAGAUACAUUUGUGCUAAGUUAUAGCUUUUUAUAGACAACUUGUUGACUAUGAUUAGUCUUGUAGCUUACUCGCUUAUGCUAUUUUACCUACGCUUAGGAUGUUGAAGAUGUAGCACAUCAU
Molecule: ribosomal RNA, 774 nt
Filed under: uncultured Neocallimastigales
Lineage: Eukaryota; Fungi; Neocallimastigomycota; Neocallimastigomycetes; Neocallimastigales
Description: partial large subunit ribosomal RNA
Rfam family: Eukaryotic large subunit ribosomal RNA
Source: RNAcentral